UCCUACGGGAGGCAGCAGUGGGGAAUAUUGCGCAAUGGGGGGAACCCUGACGCAGCCAUGCCGCGUGAAUGAAGAAGGCCUUCAGGUUGUAAAGUUCUUUCGGUAAUGAGGAAGGGAUGUUGUUAAAUAGAUAGCAUCAUUGACGUUAAUUACAGAAGAAGCACCGGCUAACUCCGUGCCAGCAGCCGCGGUAAUACGGAGGGUGCGAGCGUUAAUCGGAAUAACUGGGCGUAAAGGGCACGCAGGCGGACUUUUAAGUGAGAUGUGAAAUCCCCGAGCUUAACUUGGGAACUGCAUUUCAGACUGGGAGUCUAGAGUACUUUAGGGAGGGGUAGAAUUCCACGUGUAGCGGUGAAAUGCGUAGAGAUGUGGAGGAAUACCGAAGGCGAAGGCAGCCCCUUGGGAAUGUACUGACGCUCAUGUGCGAAAGCGUGGGGAGCAAACAGGAUUAGAUACCCUGGUAGUCC
Molecule: ribosomal RNA, 467 nt
Filed under: uncultured bacterium
Lineage: Bacteria
Description: bacterial SSU rRNA
Rfam family: Bacterial small subunit ribosomal RNA
Source: RNAcentral